This 99-nucleotide ribosomal RNA is filed under the name Pseudomonas sp. CK-NBRI-02. Lineage: Bacteria; Pseudomonadati; Pseudomonadota; Gammaproteobacteria; Pseudomonadales; Pseudomonadaceae. The record is from RNAcentral.
AUUGGAACCACCUGAUCCCAUCCCGAACUCAGUAGUGAAACGAUGCAUCGCCGAUGGUAGUGUGGGGCUUCCCCAUGUGAGAGUAGGUCAUCGUCAAGA